Molecule: ribosomal RNA, 491 nt
Filed under: uncultured bacterium
Lineage: Bacteria
Description: partial 16S ribosomal RNA
Rfam family: Bacterial small subunit ribosomal RNA
Source: RNAcentral
AGUGAACGCUGGCGGUAGGCCUAACACAUGCAAGUCGAACGGCAGCACAGUAAGAGCUUGCUCUUACGGGUGGCGAGUGGCGGACGGGUGAGGAAUACAUCGGAAUCUACUUUUUCGUGGGGGAUAACGUAGGGAAACUUACGCUAAUACCGCAUACGACCUACGGGUGAAAGCAGGGGAUCUUCGGACCUUGCGCGAUUGAAUGAGCCGAUGUCGGAUUAGCUAGUUGGCGGGGUAAAGGCCCACCAAGGCGACGAUCCGUAGCUGGUCUGAGAGGAUGACCGCCCACAUGGAAAUGAGGCCACGUCCAGGACCCUAACGGAGGGAGGAGUUGGGAAUAUUGGGCAAUGGGCGGAAGGCUGAUCCCGCCCUACCGCGUGGGGUGAGGAGGCCCUCGGGGUGGAAAGCCCUUUUGUUGGGAAAGAAAAGCAGCAGGUUAAUACCCCGCUGUUCUGACGGUACCCAAAGAAUAAGCACCGGCUAACUUCGUG